GAAUCAACGCUGGCGGCGUGCCUAACACAUGCAAGUCGAACGCGAAAGCCCGCAAGGGUAAGUAGAGUGGCGCACGGGUGAGUAACACGUGGACAACCUGCCUUCGAGUGGGGAAUAACCUUCCGAAAGGAGGGCUAAUACCGCAUAACACCUCGGGACACAAGUUCUGGGGUUGAAAAGAGCAAUUUGCUCGAAGAGGGGUCCGCGCCUGAUUAGCUAGUUGGUGAGGUAACGGCUCACCAAGGCUUCGAUCAGUAGCCGUCCUGAGAGGGAGCACGGCACACUGG
RNAcentral lists this ribosomal RNA (287 nucleotides) under uncultured bacterium. Its description in RNAcentral is "partial 16S ribosomal RNA". It matches the Rfam family "Bacterial small subunit ribosomal RNA", at positions 27 to 316 of the family's 1533-position model. The record is from RNAcentral.